AGUGAAGUGGCUGAAAUCAAGGUGAUAGAUUGUACCUCUAUUUAUGGGGUAAAUUCCUCCUUCACUA
RNAcentral lists this transfer RNA (67 nucleotides) under Mekongiana xiangchengensis. RNAcentral describes it as "tRNA-Tyr". Lineage: Eukaryota; Metazoa; Arthropoda; Insecta; Orthoptera; Pyrgomorphidae. The record is from RNAcentral.